This 426-nucleotide ribosomal RNA is filed under the name uncultured Pseudomonadaceae bacterium. RNAcentral's name for it is "bacterial SSU rRNA". It matches the Rfam family "Bacterial small subunit ribosomal RNA", at positions 356 to 774 of the family's 1533-position model. The record is from RNAcentral. Lineage: Bacteria; Pseudomonadati; Pseudomonadota; Gammaproteobacteria; Pseudomonadales; Pseudomonadaceae.
GGGGAAUAUUGGACAAUGGGCGAAAGCCUGAUCCAGCCAUGCCGCGUGUGUGAAGAAGGUCUUCGGAUUGUAAAGCACUUUAAGUUGGGAGGAAGGGCAGUAAGUUAAUACCUUGCUGUUUUGACGUUACCGACAGAAUAAGCACCGGCUAACUCUGUGCCAGCAGCCGCGGUAAUACAGAGGGUGCAAGCGUUAAUCGGAAUUACUGGGCGUAAAGCGCGCGUAGGUGGUUCGUUAAGUUGGAUGUGCAAGCCCCGGGCUCAACCUGGGAACUGCAUCCAAAACUGGCGAGCUAGAGUACGGUAGAGGGUGGUGGAAUUUCCUGUGUAGCGGUGAAAUGCGUAGAUAUAGGAAGGAACACCAGUGGCGAAGGCGACUGUCUGGUCUGUAACUGACGCUGAGGCUCGAAAGCAUGGGUAGCGAACA